RNAcentral lists this unclassified non-coding RNA (330 nucleotides) under soil metagenome. RNAcentral describes it as "partial contains 5.8S ribosomal RNA, internal transcribed spacer 2, and large subunit ribosomal RNA". The stretch from base 1 to 120 matches the Rfam family "5.8S ribosomal RNA", at positions 35 to 154 of the family's 154-position model. The record is from RNAcentral.
GAUGAAGAACGCAGCGAAAUGCGAUAAGUAAUGUGAAUUGCAGAAUUCAGUGAAUCAUCGAAUCUUUGAACGCACAUUGCGCCCCCUGGUAUUCCGGGGGGCAUGCCUGUUCGAGCGUCAUUUCACCACUCAAGCCUCGCUUGGUAUUGGGCAACGCGGUCCGCCGCGUGCCUCAAAUCGACCGGCUGGGUCUUCUGUCCCCUAAGCGUUGUGGAAACUAUUCGCUAAAGGGUGUUCGGGAGGCUACGCCGUAAAACAACCCAUUUCUAAGGUUGACCUCGGAUCAGGUAGGGAUACCCGCUGAACUUAAGCAUAUCAAUAAGCGGAGGA